GCCAGACUCCUACGGGAGGCAGCAGUGAGGAAUAUUGGUCAAUGGGCGUAAGCCUGAACCAGCCAAGUCGCGUGAGGGACGACGGCCCUACGGGUUGUAAACCUCUUUUGCCGGGGGACAAACGGCGGCACGCGUGCCGUCCUGAGGGUACCCGGAGAAAAAGCAUCGGCUAACUCCGUGCCAGCAGCCGCGGUAAUACGUAGGGGGCAAGCGUUAUCCGGAUUUACUGGGUGUAAAGGGAGCGUAGACGGCUGUGCAAGUCUGAAGUGAAAGCCCGUGGCUCAACCGCGGAACUGCUUUGGAAACUGUAUAGCUUGAGUACUGGAGAGGCAGGCGGAAUUCCUAGUGUAGCGGUGAAAUGCGUAGAUAUUAGGAGGAACACCAGUGGCGAAGGCGGCCUGCUGGACAGAAACUGACGUUGAGGCUCGAAAGCGUGGGGAGCAAACAGGAUUAGAUACCCGCGUAAGU
Molecule: ribosomal RNA, 468 nt
Filed under: uncultured bacterium
Lineage: Bacteria
Description: bacterial SSU rRNA
Rfam family: Bacterial small subunit ribosomal RNA
Source: RNAcentral